RNAcentral lists this long non-coding RNA (367 nucleotides) under Phoenix dactylifera (date palm). RNAcentral's name for it is "long non-coding RNA (PDAC_LNC014905)". Lineage: Eukaryota; Viridiplantae; Streptophyta; Magnoliopsida; Arecales; Arecaceae. The record is from RNAcentral.
CCCUCGACUAAGGUCGGGAUGCCCCGAGGGUCGACCGUAGAGUCCCAAACUCCCUCGACCUCGGGAUGCACCGCAGGUCAGCAAAGCGUCCUCAAACCCGCCGACCUGACACAAGACUCCUCGACCAAGGUUGGGGCGCCCCGAGGUCCGACCGUAGGGUCUCAAGCUCCCUCGACCACGGAAAGAGCUACGAAUCAAUAAAGCCUUCCCAGAUCCUCUCAACUUCGGCGGGUGUCGUCGGGUCCGUGAGAAGCCCGAGUCCCCUAACAAGUCAAAAACGACUCCGAAAGCUGAAGAGGAAGGGAAACAACCCACUCCGCCACAUGGAGUACAACUCUGGGAAUGAAAAAGGUACGUCCAACUCGAC